AGAGCUAAUCACCUUUUAGAUUCAGACAUCGCUUGUCAAUCAACUCGAGAACGCGCAUCCGCAUCAGCUAUACAAGCCGGGAAAAUUGCGUUUUAUUUAUUUUUUUGCGUAUUCUGAGUUUCCGUCUCAGUUGAACUGCGUGACAGUCACAUGAUACACUGUAACGUUCAUGCAUGUUUGCUUUAUAACAUCAGAUCUUCAUCAGCUCUACACAGAAGAUGCUUCUGAUACAUGAUCUGUCUGGAAGUUUAUAGUGUGUAAUACUGGACUGAAGCAGCAUCUUCAUCAUCAUCAUCAUCAUCAUCAUCAUCAUCAUGCCUCUGACAGCUGCUGUGAUUGGUGGAGUUCAGAAUCUGGUGCUGUAUGAGACGAGAGCCGUAAGUGACAUUAAAUGAUUGAAAUAAAGAGAUAAUGUAAUAGUCAUUAGCAAAUCAAGAACAGUUUGGGUCAUAUUUCACCCCAUAAUCAAAAUAGGGAAAUAAAUAAAUGCUAUUUUACAUUAAGAAAAUAUUACGUUU
Long non-coding RNA from Xyrauchen texanus (razorback sucker), 518 nucleotides. RefSeq lists it as uncharacterized. The record is from RefSeq and is a predicted model, not a curated record. The transcript has 3 exons. NCBI's taxonomy places the organism in Eukaryota, Metazoa, Chordata, Actinopteri, Cypriniformes, Catostomidae.